This 263-nucleotide long non-coding RNA is filed under the name Rattus norvegicus (Norway rat). RNAcentral's name for it is "long non-coding RNA NONRATT016512". The record is from RNAcentral. Lineage: Eukaryota; Metazoa; Chordata; Mammalia; Rodentia; Muridae.
GGCUAAAGGGAGCUGAGUUCCUCGUGCUGAGGAGGCUGGGCUGUCUCUGAUGCCCAGCAGUGGCCGUUAUGGAACCCAGCAGCGUGCAGGGUCGAGGACAGCCGGCCCCACAUGUCAGUGGUCUAGGAUGGCCAGUGAGGGCGCCAGCAUCCCGAGUCCUGUGGUACGCCAGAUUGACAAGCAGUUUCUGAUCUGCAGUAUAUGCCUGGAACGGUACAAGAACCCCAAGGUCCUGCCCUGUCUGCACACUUUCUGCGAGAGGU